This 435-nucleotide ribosomal RNA is filed under the name uncultured bacterium. Its description in RNAcentral is "partial 16S ribosomal RNA". It matches the Rfam family "Bacterial small subunit ribosomal RNA", at positions 28 to 507 of the family's 1533-position model. The record is from RNAcentral.
GAUGAACGCUGGCGGUAUGCUUAACACAUGCAAGUCGAACGGACUCUUCGGAGUUAGUGGCGGACGGGUGAGUAACGCGUGAGAAUCUGGCUUUGGGUUCGGGACAACCACUGGAAACGGUGGCUAAUACCGGAUGUGCCGAGAGGUAAAAGAGAAAUUGCCUGCAGAUGAGCUCGCGUCUGAUUAGCUAGUUGGUGAGGUAAAGGCUCACCAAGGCAGCGAUCAGUAGCUGGUCUGAGAGGAUGACCAGCCACACUGGGACUGAGACACGGCCCAGACUCCUACGGGAGGCAGGAGGGGGGAAUUGUCCGCAAUGGGCGAAAGCCUGACGGAGCAAUACCGCGUGAGGGAAGAAGGCUCGUGGGUUGUAAACCUCUUUUCUUAGGGAAGAACAAAAUGACGGUACCUAAGGAAGCAGCAUCGGCUAACUCCGUG